AAAUCAAGCUUCUUCUUGCUUCUAAAAGCUUUGAUUGUUUAGCCGAAGUCCAUAUGAGUCUUUGUCUUUGUAUCUUCGAACAAGGAAACACUACUUAGGCUUUUAGGAUAAGAUUGCAGUUUAAGUUCUUAUACUCAAUCAUACACAUGACAUCAAGUCGUAUUCGACUCCAAAA
RNAcentral lists this small RNA (175 nucleotides) under Arabidopsis thaliana (thale cress). Its description in RNAcentral is "ATSL204300". Lineage: Eukaryota; Viridiplantae; Streptophyta; Magnoliopsida; Brassicales; Brassicaceae. The record is from RNAcentral.